UAUUCAUAUGCUUGUCUCAAAAAUUAACCCAUGCAUGUCUAAUUAUAAACUGCUUAUACUGUGAAACUGCAAAUGGCUCAUUAAAUCAUUUAUAGUUUAUUUGAUGGUACCUACUACUCGAAUAACCGUAUUAAUUCUAAAGCUAAUACGUGCGUAAAUCCCGACUUCAGGAAGGGACUUAUUAUUAAAUUUAAGGCCAACCAACCUUCUGCUCGUCUCUUGGUGAAUCAUGAUAACUUCACAAAUCGCAUGGCCUUUGCGCCGGCAAUAUUUCAUUCAAAUUUCUGCCCUAUCAAUUGGCAAUGGUAGGAUAAAGGCCUACCAUGGUGUUAACGGGUGACGGAGGAUUAGGGUUCAAUUCCGGAAAGGGAGCCUGAAAAACGGCUACCACAUCCAAGGAAGGCAGCAGGCGCGCAAAUUACCCAAUCCUGAUACAGGGAGGUAGUGACAAUAAAUAACAAUACCGGGCUUUUCAAGUCUGGUAAUUGAAAUGAGUACAAUCUAAAUCCCUUAACGAGGAUCCAUUGA
Molecule: ribosomal RNA, 528 nt
Filed under: uncultured eukaryote
Lineage: Eukaryota
Description: SSU rRNA
Rfam family: Eukaryotic small subunit ribosomal RNA
Source: RNAcentral